This 429-nucleotide ribosomal RNA is filed under the name bacterium. Its description in RNAcentral is "partial 16S ribosomal RNA". It matches the Rfam family "Bacterial small subunit ribosomal RNA", at positions 355 to 776 of the family's 1533-position model. The record is from RNAcentral.
UAGGGAAUCUUCCACAAUGGACGCAAGUCUGAUGGAGCAACGCCGCGUGAGUGAAGAAGGUUUUCGGAUCGUAAAGCUCUGUUGUUGGUGAAGAAGGAUAGAGGCAGUAACUGGUCUUUAUUUGACGGUAAUCAACCAGAAAGUCACGGCUAACUACGUGCCAGCAGCCGCGGUAAUACGUAGGUGGCAAGCGUUGUCCGGAUUUAUCGGGCGUAAAGCGAGCGCAGGCGGAAUGAUAAGUCUGAUGUGAAAGCCCACGGCUCAACCGUGGAACUGCAUCGGAAACUGUCAUUCUUGAGUGCAGAAGAGGAGAGUGGAAUUCCAUGUGUAGCGGUGGAAUGCGUAGAUAUAUGGAAGAACACCAGUGGCGAAGGCGGCUCUCUGGUCUGCAACUGACGCUGAGGCUCGAAAGCAUGGGUAGCGAACAGG